UACGUAGGUGGCGAGCGUUGUCCGGAUUUACUGGGCGUAAAGAGCGCGCAGGCGGUUGUGCAAGUCGCGUGUGAAAGCCCCCGGCUCAACUGGGGAGGGUCACGCGAUUACUGCUCGACUUGAAGGCAGGAGAGGGAAGUGGAAUUCCCGGUGUAGUGGUGAAAUGCGUAGAUAUCGGGAGGAACACCAGUGGCGAAGGCGACUUCCUGGCCUGUUCUUGACGCUGAGGCGCGAAAGCUAGGGUAGCAAACGGGG
RNAcentral lists this ribosomal RNA (255 nucleotides) under uncultured bacterium. RNAcentral describes it as "partial 16S ribosomal RNA". It matches the Rfam family "Bacterial small subunit ribosomal RNA", at positions 524 to 777 of the family's 1533-position model. The record is from RNAcentral.